GACUAUGGCCACGCUGGACUGAAUGCACCCGAUCCUGUCUGAUCUCGGAAGUUAAGCAGACCCAGGGCCCAGGAUGGGAGACUGCCUGGGAAUCCCAGGUGCUAAAGGCA
RNAcentral lists this ribosomal RNA (110 nucleotides) under Sphenodon punctatus (tuatara). Lineage: Eukaryota; Metazoa; Chordata; Lepidosauria; Sphenodontia; Sphenodontidae. The record is from RNAcentral.